This 424-nucleotide ribosomal RNA is filed under the name uncultured prokaryote. RNAcentral describes it as "bacterial SSU rRNA". It matches the Rfam family "Bacterial small subunit ribosomal RNA", at positions 355 to 796 of the family's 1533-position model. The record is from RNAcentral.
UGGGGAAUUUUCCGCAAUGGGCGCAAGCCUGACGGAGCAAUGCCGCGUGAGUGAUGAAGGCCUUAGGGUUGUAAAGCUCUUUUACCAGGGAUGAUAAUGACAGUACCUGGAGAAUAAGCUCCGGGUAACUCCGUGCCAGCAGCCGCGGUAAUACGGAGGGUGCUAGCGUUGUUCGGAAUUACUGGGCGUAAAGCGCACGUAGGCGGCCAAUCAAGUCAGGGGUGAAAUCCCGGGGCUCAACCCCGGAACUGCCCUUGAAACUGGUAGGCUAGAAUACUGGAGAGGUGAGUGGAAUUCCGAGUGUAGAGGUGAAAUUCGUAGAUAUUCGGAAGAACACCAGUGGCGAAGGCGACUCACUGGACAGUUAUUGACGCUGAGGUGCGAAAGCGUGGGGAGCAAACAGGAUUAGAUACCCGCGUAGUCC